RNAcentral lists this ribosomal RNA (214 nucleotides) under Clostridioides difficile. RNAcentral's name for it is "partial 23S ribosomal RNA". It matches the Rfam family "Bacterial large subunit ribosomal RNA", at positions 306 to 522 of the family's 2925-position model. Lineage: Bacteria; Bacillati; Bacillota; Clostridia; Peptostreptococcales; Peptostreptococcaceae. The record is from RNAcentral.
AUAUCAUAACGAAGAGGUAUCGUAAUUGAAGAGGUUUGGAAAGACCCACCACAGAAGGUAAUAGUCCUGUAUGUUAAACGAGAAGACUUUAGAUAUGAUCCAGAGUACUACGGGACACGUGAAACCCUGUGGGAAGCAGGAGGGACCACCCUCCAAGGCUAAAUACUACCUAGUGACCGAUAGCGUAUAGUACCGUGAGGGAAAGGUGAAAAGA